AUCAUCAGUAUCUUUGUUCAGUAUCGGCACUUGCCAGAUACAGUAUUUCUUUGAGAAAUACUACGCGAUUGAGAUGAUGGCCUUCAUUCAUGUUUCAUCGCGAGCACUAUGACGAAGAAGAAGAAAGCAAGGCAUGCAUGAUCUAGGCAUGCAUGCACAUUCUUCUAAUGCUGAAUUUUCUUGGAAUUUGGAUGUAGUGCUGAUUUUGCAGAGAAUUUGAUGUAUAUUUGCAUGCAAACAAAAUUCAAAUGCUGGGAGUUAUGUACAUAUUCUUAUAAUACUAUCCUAAUUGGAAAAUACGUUGGCAUUGAA
This is a long non-coding RNA of Hordeum vulgare subsp. vulgare (domesticated barley), 312 nucleotides long. RefSeq lists it as uncharacterized. The record is from RefSeq and is a predicted model, not a curated record. Lineage: Eukaryota; Viridiplantae; Streptophyta; Magnoliopsida; Poales; Poaceae. The transcript has 2 exons.